Molecule: ribosomal RNA, 324 nt
Filed under: uncultured eukaryote
Lineage: Eukaryota
Description: partial 18S ribosomal RNA
Rfam family: Eukaryotic small subunit ribosomal RNA
Source: RNAcentral
CCCUUAGAUGUUCUGGGCCGCACGCGCGCUACACUGAUGCAUUCAACGAGUUUCUUCCUGGUCCGAGAGGAAUGGGUAACCUUUUGAAAGUGCAUCGUGAUUGGGAUAGACUAUUGCAAUUAUUGGUCUUCAACGAGGAAUUCCUAGUAGACGUAGUUCAUCAGACUGCAUCGAUUACGUCCCUGCCCUUUGUACACACCGCCCGUCGCUCCUACCGAUUGAAUGCUCAGGUGAGCCAUUCGGACCUUCAUCAUGCCGGUUUCCGGUUUUGAUGAGGGAAAGUCUUGCGAACCUUAUCAUUUAGAGGAAGGAGAAGUCGUAACA